Molecule: unclassified non-coding RNA, 718 nt
Filed under: Hevea brasiliensis (rubber tree)
Lineage: Eukaryota; Viridiplantae; Streptophyta; Magnoliopsida; Malpighiales; Euphorbiaceae
Source: RNAcentral
GAAAAAUGUCUCAGCAAAAGGCAUGUGUCAAAAUUUUCUUUCUCCAAUUUUUUUGCGAAAAGCUAUCUUAGUUACACAUCUUCUGUUUUGUUCAUGUAGAUCAUAAUGUGCUGCCUUAAUCAAAUGAUCUGUUAGAAAAACAGUUCUGUUACUGGUUGUCUUAUGAGAUUUCUUUUUUAACAAUUUUUCUCUAUGUAUAUACAAUGAUUGUGACCUAAAAAUGUGAAUUUGGACAUAUGACUUGGGAGUUUAUGUUUUGAUAAAAAUUAAAGAAAAAGGGGAACAACUGGUUAGCUAAUGUUGCGAGUGAAAAGAGAUUACUGCAAAGUAGUGAGUUUAGCAAGUAGUGAACCUAUUAUUUUUGAAAAGCAUCUCAAGCAUUUGUAUCAAAGUUGAAGGUUGUUUUACAGAUAUGCAAUUUAUCCACUCCAUCAAAAUAGAUAAACAAAAGUUAUCAAAGACAUGCAAUUUUUUGAUUAUUUGAUGCAUUUAUGAUUUUUCAUAUGCUUUUACAAUUCUCUCAUGCUGUGUCUUAACUGUAGAAGAGCUCAUAUUUGUAAGCUUUUACAUUCCCCUCACAUUGUGCCUUUACCAUGUGUGUGAGAGAGGGAGGGAGGUAGGUCCUUUUAGUGAAAGGAAUUAAAUUGGAACGAUGCUACAACUAUCACGUUGGUGCCAAAAUACAAUUGCAUUUGCACAUAGAUGCACUUGUUGCUGC